GCGCCCGUAGCUCAGCUGGAUAGAGCAUCAGACUACGAAUCUGAGGGUCAGGAGUUCGAAUCUCUUCGGGCGC
Molecule: transfer RNA, 73 nt
Filed under: Azospirillum sp. TSO5
Lineage: Bacteria; Pseudomonadati; Pseudomonadota; Alphaproteobacteria; Rhodospirillales; Azospirillaceae
Description: tRNA-Arg
Rfam family: tRNA
About the family: Transfer RNA (tRNA) molecules are approximately 80 nucleotides in length. Their secondary structure includes four short double-helical elements and three loops (D, anti-codon, and T loops). Further hydrogen bonds mediate the characteristic L-shaped molecular structure. tRNAs have two regions of fundamental functional importance: the anti-codon, which is responsible for specific mRNA codon recognition, and the 3' end, to which the tRNAs corresponding amino acid is attached (by aminoacyl-tRNA synthetases). tRNAs cope with the degeneracy of the genetic code in two manners: having more than one tRNA (with a specific anti-codon) for a particular amino acid; and 'wobble' base-pairing, i.e. permitting non-standard base-pairing at the 3rd anti-codon position.
Source: RNAcentral